AAAUAGCUGCCUAGGUUUUGUUAUUCAUCCCUAAGCAGCGAUGAAGGGAGGCCCCCCCUCCAGUGCCCGCCGCCCCUUAGCAGCUUGAGCUUCGGGAUGACGCCUCACAGCUUCCCUUCCCCACGCCUAGUCGUAUCAAUGUCCUCAGUGACCUUAUGAGGGAACUGAGGUCCAAAGAGGCUAUGGGAAAUGCCGAAAGCUGCAUUUCUAGAUUCUGGCAGCUGGGCCAGGUCCAGCUCUUAUUGGCACGACUUAAGACACUCCUUCAGUGAGCAUUCAUCAAGCUCCUAGAUACCAUGUACUCAGUGUACGGAAGGUGAGACAGACACAAGAAGGAGCAAUGGAGUUAAGUGGAUAAAAACGAAUGGUAGUUAAGUACCUAAGGUAUCAGAUCAUAGAUCAUCAUAGUUGAAGAUCAUUUGGGACAAGUCCCUCAUGUUAAUGAAGAAGCAGUGAGACACUGUGAAAGGUAAAAUGGAAUCAAGUUUUAAACUCCAAGUAGAGCCCUGAUUUUCUGUGUCCACAUAGUCCAUCUGUUCACACACUCUGCUGUGGUGUAUGUGAUAUACGCUGCCAAGGGCAGGGUCCUGUCUCAGUGAGCAUGGAAAGGGGAAAGGAGCUUAGGAAUCCAAGAGGGUGCCCAGGUUCGUGGAUGGUGAUACCAUUUACCGUGAUAAUACAUGAAGGAAUAGAAACCACUCUAUGGAGAAGAUGGUAUGUUUUGAACAUUUCUUUUAUGUGCCUGUGGGACUUCCAGGGAAGACCCACAAGAAGCAGUUAGGAACAUGGGUGCCAAGCACUGGAGGGAGGCAUGGAGUUGUCCACUGGGGAACAAUCAACACAGAGGUGGUCACUGAAGCUAGGGCAUGUUGAGAGAGAGUGGGCA
This is a long non-coding RNA of Manis pentadactyla (Chinese pangolin), 886 nucleotides long. RefSeq lists it as uncharacterized. NCBI's taxonomy places the organism in Eukaryota, Metazoa, Chordata, Mammalia, Pholidota, Manidae. The record is from RefSeq and is a predicted model, not a curated record. The transcript has 3 exons.